UCCGAGUUGACCCCGGCAGUCUCCUGCGAGUCCCCGCCAUUACGCGCUGGCAACACAGGACAAGGGUUGCGCUCGUUGCGGGACUUAACCCAACAUCUCACGACACGAGCUGACGACAGCCAUGCACCACCUGUAUACCGACCACAAGGGGGGCCGUAUCUCUACGGCUUUCCGGUAUAUGUCAAACCCAGGUAAGGUGGGGAUGACGUAAGUGACCUUUGC
RNAcentral lists this unclassified non-coding RNA (222 nucleotides) under uncultured Nocardiaceae bacterium. Its description in RNAcentral is "contains 16S-23S intergenic spacer region". The record is from RNAcentral. Lineage: Bacteria; Bacillati; Actinomycetota; Actinomycetes; Mycobacteriales; Nocardiaceae.